RNAcentral lists this unclassified non-coding RNA (342 nucleotides) under soil metagenome. RNAcentral's name for it is "partial contains 5.8S ribosomal RNA, internal transcribed spacer 2, and large subunit ribosomal RNA". The stretch from base 1 to 120 matches the Rfam family "5.8S ribosomal RNA", at positions 35 to 154 of the family's 154-position model. The record is from RNAcentral.
GAUGAAGAACGUAGCGAAAUGCGAUAAGUAAUGUGAAUUGCAGAAUUCAGUGAAUCAUCGAAUCUUUGAACGCACAUUGCGCCCGCCAGCAUUCUGGCGGGCAUGCCUGUUCGAGCGUCAUUUCAACCCUCGAGCCCCCCCGGGGGCCUCGGUGUUGGGGGACGGCACACCAGCCGCCCCCGAAAUGCAGUGGCGACCCUGCCGCAGCCUCCCCUGCGUAGUAGCACACACCUCGCACCGGAGCGCGGAGGCGGUCACGCCGUAAAACGCCCAACUUUCUUAGAGUUGACCUCGGAUCAGGUAGGAAUACCCGCUGAACUUAAGCAUAUCAAAAGCGGAGGA